AUAGUUAGACAGAGGGGAGAUACCAUGAUCACGGAGGUGGUUUUCCCAGGGCGAGGCUUAUCCAUUGCUCUCCGGGUGUGCUGACCCCUACAACUUCCCCAAAUGUGGGAGACUUGGCUGCAUAAUCUGUGGUAGUGGGGGCUGCAGCAUUCAUGCUCUCCCCUG
This is a small nuclear RNA of Erinaceus europaeus (western European hedgehog), 165 nucleotides long. Its record names the gene U1. It matches the Rfam family "U1 spliceosomal RNA". From Rfam's summary of the family: U1 is a small nuclear RNA (snRNA) component of the spliceosome (involved in pre-mRNA splicing). Its 5' end forms complementary base pairs with the 5' splice junction, thus defining the 5' donor site of an intron. The record is from Ensembl. NCBI's taxonomy places the organism in Eukaryota, Metazoa, Chordata, Mammalia, Eulipotyphla, Erinaceidae.